GUCUACAGCCAUGCCACCUUGAACGUGCCAGCUCUCAUUUGAUCUUGGAAGCUAAGCAGGGUCAGGCCUGGUUAGUACUUGGAUGGGAGACCACCUAGGAAGACCAGGUGCUAUAGGCG
This 119-nucleotide ribosomal RNA is filed under the name Pteropus alecto (black flying fox). The record is from RNAcentral. Lineage: Eukaryota; Metazoa; Chordata; Mammalia; Chiroptera; Pteropodidae.